RNAcentral lists this long non-coding RNA (489 nucleotides) under Cricetulus griseus (Chinese hamster). RNAcentral describes it as "lncRNA (ENSCGRG00015040647.1)". Lineage: Eukaryota; Metazoa; Chordata; Mammalia; Rodentia; Cricetidae. The record is from RNAcentral.
GUUCCACCUUCUUCUGAAUGGACUCAAUGUGCUACACAGAGUUGUGUCGGGGUAGAAGUUGCAAUCAGAUGUCUCUUGAAGUAACAUGUCAUCCAGAGUCCACUCCCCAUUGGAUGAGUCAUUCACUGGUCUUCCAACAAAACAGAUGGUGAGCAGUGGAGAAGUCAGGGAAAGUGAAGAAAAUGAAAGAGGGAGAAAAAUGGUGUUUCUCACCAAACCCAUGAUAGACCCAGAAGUCAUCCAGCGUCUAAAAUCUUGGAAUAACUCCAUGGAUCAUGAAACCAAGGAAGACUGUGGGAGAAAGAGCAUAUGUCAAUGUAGAAUUUGGCCUCACAAGCUAGAAGACAAAGUGCUGGUCAGGACAUAGAGACUGAUAAUAAAAAUUCCUACUUUUAAUUUUUUAAAGCAGAUUAUGCGUUAUGUUUUCUGAAAUGACUUGCCAGAUAAUGUUUCAGGAGGAAGUUUGAAUAAAAUAUUCCAGCAACUGUU